UAGGGAAGUAUUGCUCAAUGGGGGGAAACCCGUGAAGCAGCAACGCCGCGUGGAGGAUGAAGGUUUUCGGAUUGUAAACUCCUUUUGUUAGAGAAGAUAAUGACGGUAUCUAACGAAUAAGCACCGGCUAACUCCGUGCC
RNAcentral lists this ribosomal RNA (140 nucleotides) under uncultured bacterium. Its description in RNAcentral is "partial 16S ribosomal RNA". It matches the Rfam family "Bacterial small subunit ribosomal RNA", at positions 355 to 509 of the family's 1533-position model. The record is from RNAcentral.